RNAcentral lists this long non-coding RNA (602 nucleotides) under Mytilus galloprovincialis (Mediterranean mussel). The record is from RNAcentral. Lineage: Eukaryota; Metazoa; Mollusca; Bivalvia; Mytilida; Mytilidae.
UAUACUUACAUCUAGGAUUUGUGUUAAGAACCAAUAGAACGCACGUCCAGUGAUUGAUGUCCGUUCAUAUGGACUUAUACUUACAUGAACUUACAUCGAGGAUUUGUGUUGGGAAACAAUAUAGCGCAACACAUGUUGCUGAGGUCAGCCGAAUGUUUAGAUAUAUAAACUGUGUCGUUUUCUAACGAGGAGCGACUUCUCCGAUGCCACUAUACGCACAGUGUCUCUCACAUACAUUGUAAAAUAAUGUAAUAAAAGUUUGUCAAAUUAUCUAGUGUUAGUGUUACACUAGUAAUUUUUGGUGCCGUGACCAGGAUUCGUCAAUGACGUCUGCUACAAAUUUUGAAGGUAUGUCUAUAUUUUGAAUUGUUUUGGUGAGAUUAUGGCUGACCAGCAAGUGGGGGAAAUAUUCCAGGCUUUGGCCCACACCCUGGGGCAGUUAUCAGAUUCUAUUGGGAAUCAAGGUCAUAACCAGCAGGCUUUCUCGGCUCAAGUCGAGCAUUUAUCAAAUACCGUGGGCACGCAAAGUGUUUCACAAGUUAUUCCAUCUUUUGGGGGAACCCAAAGGAGUUUCAAGAAUGGAUCAAGAAAUAGUAAAAAUA